GUUUUCCUUCUAAACUAGCUUCUUCAUUCAAUCCCCCUCUCUCUCUCUCUUAACACAUUCAAACAUUGUUAGCUAUCUUCUCAUGGAACCUUGAAAUUUCCUGUUCUUGCUACAAAGAGGAAAGGAAACUAAAAGAAGAGGGAGACGCACAAGAUUUUUGUAUUCUUUAUAGUAUUAGAAAAUGUCUUUCUUUACUGGUUUGAUCAUUGGAAUGUCCAUCGGGAUUGGGUUGAUGGUAGCAUAUGCUCGUUACCAGAAUAUCCGAUCUUUACGUCGCUCUCAAUUGGCCAAGACAGUGGCUGCAUUCGCGAGGAUGACAGUGCAAGAUUCAAGAAAACUUCUGCCAGACGAGUUCUAUCCACCUUGGGUUGUCUUUUCACGGAGGCAAAAGUUAACUUGGCUGAAUCUCCAGCUUGACAAGAUUUGGCCUUACGUUGACGAGGCGGCAUCAGAGUUGAUAAAAAGUAAUGUGGAGCCAAUUCUUGAACAAUAUAGACCGGUUAUACUAUCAUCUCUCAAGUUUUCCAAAUUAACCCUUGGCACUGUGGCUCCACAGUUUACAGGAAUUUCCAUUCUCGAGCAAGGUGGAGAUCCUGGGAGUGUCACCAUGGAGUUGGAGAUGCAGUGGGAUGGCAAUCCAAACAUUGUACUUGAUAUCAACACCCGAGUUGGUUUAGCACUUCCCAUACAGGUAAAAAAUAUUGGAUUCACAGGGCUUUUCAGGUUAAUCUUCAAACCACUGGUUGACGAGUUUCCUGGUUUUGGAGCUGUUUCUUAUUCCUUGAGAGAAAAGAAAAAGCUGGAUUUUACACUUAAAGUUAUUGGUGGUGAGAUAUCAGCAAUCCCUGGGAUAUCUGAUGCUAUUGAGGAAACAAUUAGGGAUGCCGUUGAAGAUUCUAUAACAUGGCCAGUUAGGAAAAUUGUAUCGAUAUUACCUGGCGAUUAUAGGUAUGCUAAUUUUACCAGGAUCUUAUUUCAAACUUAGUAAAGACUAAAGAUCAAAAUUCUUUUCUUCCGUCUUUCAAUAUAUCAAAAUAUGCAGUAAUAUCUGCCAAAUGCUUAGUUGUGAUCAAGGUGCAAUAUAGCAAACUCCUAAAGCACAAGACCGCAGAUUGGGAUAUUUUGCCUGAACUUUGAAAACAUGAUAGACCAAUUCAUUUUCUUUAAAGUCCUUGGUGAUUUGUACUGAAAAGCAAAAGUUUUUGUUUUCUGAUGUAAUCUGAGAUCAUCAAUCAUUAUAUUCGUUUUAUUAGUGACCUGGAGGUGAAGCCUGUUGGUAUAUUAGAGGUGAAGCUAGUGCAGGGCAAGGAGUUGACCAAUAAAGAUAUUAUUGGGAAAUCUGAUCCUUUUGCAGUCUUGUUUGUACGUCCACUGCGUGACAGAACAAAAACCAGCAAAACAAUUAAUAACCAGUUGAAUCCUAUCUGGAAUGAACACUUUGAGUUCAUAGUUGAAGAUCCCUUAACUCAACACUUGACGGUAAGAGUUUUUGAUGAUGAAGGAGUUCAGGCCUCUGAACUCAUUGGUUGUGCUCAAGUGGCACUAAGGGACCUUGAACCUGGAAAAGUGAAGGAUGUAUGGUUGAAACUAGUCAAGGAUUUGGAGGUCCAGAGAGAUGCUAAAUAUAGGGGUCAGGUUCACUUGGAGCUCUUGUACUGUCCAUACGGCACAGAGAGCAGCCUUAAAAAUCCUUUUAAUCCUGAUUUCCAGCUAACCACCUUAGAGAAGGCUAUUAAGGCUGGAACUCACGAAACAGACGAUGCUGCUCUUAAAAUAUCAUCAUCUCAGAAGAAAAAUGUCAUCGUGCGAGGAGUGCUAUCGGUUAAUGUGGUAGCUGCAGAAAACUUGCCAGCAGCAGACUUGAUGGGAAAGGCUGAUCCUUAUGUUGUCCUUCAGAUGAAAAAAUCUGAUACAAAAGUGAAGACUAGGGUUGUAAAUGAAAGCCUGAAUCCUGUUUGGAAUCAAACAUUUGACUUUGUUGUAGAGGAUGCAUUGCAUGAUAUGCUAAUUUUGGAAGUUUGGGACCAUGACACUUUUGGAAAAGAUAAAAUUGGAAGAUGCAUCAUGACACUCACCAGGGUUCUUUUAGAAGGGGAAAUUCAGGACAGUUUUCCACUAGAUGGUGCUAAAUCAGGGAAGCUUUUUUUGCAUCUCAAGUGGACGCCACAGCUAAAAUUCAGGGAUCCUUGAUAAAUCAGAUUAGAUAAACGACACCUUUCAUUUUUUUUAAAUACAAGAUCCCUGCUUGUUCUUCUCUCUGCAUACAAGAAGGCCAAACAAUAAGAUCUCAACAUAUGUGAUUGUGAAGCUGUUAAAAAAAUUUAU
This 2325-nucleotide unclassified non-coding RNA is filed under the name Hevea brasiliensis (rubber tree). Lineage: Eukaryota; Viridiplantae; Streptophyta; Magnoliopsida; Malpighiales; Euphorbiaceae. The record is from RNAcentral.